CGUCGCUCCGCGCCCACCUCCCCCACCGGGGGACGGGGGGCGCGGGGCGGAUACUGGUCUCCCGUGCGCCCCGGCGCGCGGAUGGCUAAAAUGGGAUCCCUCGGCGGCGCACGUCAUGGCCAUUGGUGGUUGAUCAGUCAACUCGCGUGUGGUUGUGCUCCUCUGCAUCGCUCGAGAGGGCAUCCGAACGUACCCGAUGGCGCCCUGGCGCCAGCAUCC
RNAcentral lists this unclassified non-coding RNA (219 nucleotides) under Pinguicula zecheri. Its description in RNAcentral is "ITS2". Lineage: Eukaryota; Viridiplantae; Streptophyta; Magnoliopsida; Lamiales; Lentibulariaceae. The record is from RNAcentral.